GCAAUUAAUUUCGAAAUGUACUUUUGCAACUAACUUCUAUCUUAAUUUUCUCCAUUCCCUUAUUAUUUAUUGAUUUUGCACUCUGCAAAGGCAAAAACGCCACACGCAAUUGAAAUCUGGAUUGAACCCAACCAUGCCUUCUUUCACUUCUCUUCCUCCGUGGCUAUGCCUAUGGCUGGUGCUGGCCGUGAUUGUGUUCACGGCCACACCAUCUCCGGCACGUGCCUCGGUGGUGGAGUUGGAAGGAGAAGGAUUGAGGUCUCAGCGAGAGUUUGAUUAUUUCGUGUUGGCGUUGCAAUGGCCUGGCACUUACUGUCAUCGCACCAGCCAUUGCUGUUCCUCUAAUGCUUGCUGCAGAGGCUCCAAUUCUCCAACAAUUUUCACUAUACAUGGACUCUGGGCUGACUAUAAUGAUGGAACCUGGCCAGCCUGUUGCUCUGGGCCUAGUUUUAAUCCCAAAGAGAUAUCGACUUUGACUAAUGCUUUAGAGCAAUAUUGGCCGUCAUUGAGCUGUAGCUCGCCAUCAACGUGCCAUGGUGGGAAAGGUUCAUUUUGGGCUCACGAGUGGGAGAAACAUGGCACAUGCUCUUAUCCUGUGAUUCGGAAUGAAUAUGAUUAUUUCCUGACAACGCUGAAUGUCUACUUCAAAUAUAAUGUUACGAGUGUUCUAAAUGAUGCUGGAUAUGUUCCGUCUAAUACAGAGAAGUAUCCCCUUGGAGGCAUUAUCUCUGCCAUUGAGAAUGCUUUUCAUGCAUCUCCUUUAAUAGUUUGCUCAAAAGAUUCUAUUGAGGAACUUCGCCUAUGCUUUUAUAAGGACUUCAAGCCACGAGAUUGCGCUGUUGGACCUAACAUUAAAAUUGACAUGGUUACUUCAAAAGGAUCUUGUCCCAAAUAUGUUCGCUUGCCUGAACUCGUAUCAGCACAUUGUGAACUGAUUUAUACAUAUGGCUCCUUUGUUAUUUUGGAUCAUCUAAGCAAGAAGCUUGAUAUCACUUUUCCACCAACAUUCUACUGUGUGUUAUAAUGAGAAAGAAAACAUUUUUUGCCUUUGUAUGACAGAAGAAAUUUCAUUAAAGGGAUAAAAAAAAAAUACAACUAGGGUUGUGAAUGCGAUACUGAUAAGAAAUCCUGCAAAUAAGGCUCAAUUCACCAUGUAGUGAACUAAAUAUAAAACAAGGCUUCCCAAUCUUUGCAAAUCCGGGAUAUUGACAACCUUGAAGCAGUCCUGGGUAUAAAACCACUAAGUUGCCAAAAAACUGUGUGGGGAUAAAAAUAUUACUUUAAAACAAGUUUGUCUCUCUCCAACUGUGCCAGGAUCCUUACCCUCUCUAGUAGAUCACCUGGCUGAAAAUAACUAGCAGAAUGGGGAAUUUUUUUUUGUUGGUGUAAUAUCAUUAUGGAGGUUUGAACGUAUGACAUCCGCAAACUACUCUAAUCCCUCACCACUAGCUCAAUCAUAGUGGCUUUGAGUGUGAAUCUCAGUGCUGAGGAGGAUGCCUAUGGUAAAUGGUAAACAGGUGCCCAGAAGUGGGGUUUUUUGCCUGUGUAGGGUUAAAUCAAAGACAUUUUAUCCGUAUGGGGUUGUUUGACGAAAAAUUCCCUGGCUAGGGUGAUUUGUGAGUGUCGUAAAAAAUGUUGGCGACACAUGAUCAAGUAUCAGCUGAAAGAAUGCCGACAAGUGCCAGACCCGACUUCUGAGAGCGGUUACUUUCAAACCGCUCUCUUAAAUGAGGGCAUGAUGGACUUCAAAGGCGGGUCUUUGAUGACGCAGCUCUUUAAGGUGAUGGCACUGUACCUUUUGUAAAUUUAACCUUGCGAUUGGACAAAGCCACAUGAAUAAAUUUGUUUGGAUGCUGUACCAUUUAUCAAUUGGAGACACACAUGUAAGUGAAGAAGACAUUUGGGUUGAAAUCUAGACCUGCUAAAGUUUAUCCAGAAAACUGAAGUGAUGUAUUUGUGGGUUUUAUCAUUUUCCUUAUUAUUGAAGGAAUGUACAACUGUAUAAUGGAUAUGUUGUAUCAUAAGGAAUUGCGAGUAUAUAUUUUUCCUUAAUAUCAUCAUUAUAUACUAUGCCUACAUCUCCGCU
Molecule: RNA transcript, 2086 nt
Organism: Abrus precatorius (Indian licorice)
Lineage: Eukaryota; Viridiplantae; Streptophyta; Magnoliopsida; Fabales; Fabaceae
Gene name: ribonuclease 2
Exons: 10
Source: RefSeq, a predicted model, not a curated record